UACGGAGGGUGCAAGCGUUAUCCGGAUUCACUGGGUUUAAAGGGUGCGUAGGUGGGUUGGUAAGUCAGUGGUGAAAUCCCCAAGCUUAACUUGGGAACUGCCAUUGAUACUAUCAGUCUUGAAUACCGUGGAGGUCGGCGGAAUAUGUCAUGUAGCGGUGAAAUGCUUAGAUAUGACAUAGAACACCAAUUGCGAAGGCAGCUCACUACGCGAGUAUUGACACUGAGGCACGAAAGCGUGGGGAUCAAACAGG
This 253-nucleotide ribosomal RNA is filed under the name uncultured bacterium. Its description in RNAcentral is "partial 16S ribosomal RNA". It matches the Rfam family "Bacterial small subunit ribosomal RNA", at positions 524 to 776 of the family's 1533-position model. The record is from RNAcentral.